Molecule: ribosomal RNA, 253 nt
Filed under: uncultured bacterium
Lineage: Bacteria
Description: partial 16S ribosomal RNA
Rfam family: Bacterial small subunit ribosomal RNA
Source: RNAcentral
UAGAGAGGUCCCAAGCGUUGUUCGGAUUCACUGGGCGUAAAGGGUGCGUAGGCGGUCGGGUAAGUCUGAUGUGAAAUCUCACAGCUUAACUGUGAAACUGCAUUGGAUACUAUCCGGCUCGAGGAAUGGAGGGGAGACUGGAAUACUUGGUGUAGCAGUGAAAUGCGUAGAUAUCAAGUGGAACACCAGUGGCGAAGGCGAGUCUCUGGACAUUUCCUGACGCUGAGGCACGAAAGCCAGGGGAGCAAACGGG